This 237-nucleotide ribosomal RNA is filed under the name uncultured bacterium. RNAcentral describes it as "partial 16S ribosomal RNA". It matches the Rfam family "Bacterial small subunit ribosomal RNA", at positions 99 to 334 of the family's 1533-position model. The record is from RNAcentral.
CGAACGGGUGAGUAACGCGUGAGGAACCUGCCUCAAAGAGGGGGACAACAGUUGGAAACGACUGCUAAUACCGCAUAAGCCCACGGGUCGGCAUCGACCUGAGGGAAAAGGAGCAAUCCGCUUUGAGAUGGCCUCGCGUCCGAUUAGCUAGUUGGUGAGGUAACGGCCCACCAAGGCGACGAUCAGUAGCCGGACUGAGAGGUUGACCGGCCACAUUGGGACUGAGACACGGCCCAG